This is a long non-coding RNA of Ailuropoda melanoleuca (giant panda), 1443 nucleotides long. RefSeq lists it as uncharacterized. The record is from RefSeq and is a predicted model, not a curated record. The transcript is spliced from 3 exons. NCBI's taxonomy places the organism in Eukaryota, Metazoa, Chordata, Mammalia, Carnivora, Ursidae.
AUGAAUUUUUAUUCUCAAAAGUUGAAAUGUGAGUUUUUGAUUCCUCAUUUUCAGACGUUUGUUUCAGAUAAAUUCUAAGAACCUAAAUGAAACAUUGCUGGAGUGUAGAUCGCUACCCCAUAUGAUAAAAACUUGUUGGUAAUUCUUUGGUUUUAGAGGAUAACAUGGUUCUUCAGUGGAAAUUGAAAAUGGGGGAUUUUGAGUUUUUCUCUACACAGCUAAGUAGAGAAUUUUGGGAGGUAUUUAUGUAAACAUGUUCACCCUGGAAGUAUUUCGCAGUUUAGGUUACUUGAAAUCAGUAGAGCCAAAUUUGGGGAUUUAUUAAUGACUGAUUUUGUAGACUACACAGGAAUACACAGCUGAAUAAGCAGGUAUUUAGAACACAAAUGAUGUGUGUACUUCAUAGGCCGUUCUUGGGCAUUUGCAUUAUAACCACAGCACAUGGAACCCCCUUACCAAUUAGUACAGUUUUAUUUUUCAGUGUGUUCUUUGAGAAAGCCUCCCAGUUUUUCAGAUUUGAAUGUGCAGUAAAACAACUGGUAGUACAGUCUUUUCCCCGGUCUCAUUCCAGUUCUGACGACUAUUGUCCGCCAACUGCAUCUCAUCUGGUUAACUGCUUUGAAGCCAGGUGAUGGAUAAAGUUCUGCAUACUGAAUCAUUGGACCCGAAGGCAAAGUAGCCAGAGUUGAGGAAUAUGGUCUAGUACCUAAAACUUGUGUCAUAUUACCUAUUCUCAGAUGGAAAAUAAUUUUUGAAGAUUUUGACAUCAGACUUUCAGGUGCUUAAAAAGAAAUGCGGUAGGAAGAGAACUUAAUGGACGUUUCAUUUUAGAGUUUAGGUGAUGUCUGGCAUGUAAGGAGCUGUUAAGUUCCUCUUUAAAAAGGCUUGCAGACAUCACUGAGACCUAGCAUCCGGCUGUUGGCUGUGACUGUAACCUCACAUUCCCCAGACGGUUGUCACGGUACAGUAGCUGUUUGAGAUUUCUCAUUCAUUGCUUCUGGGGAGUGUUUUGCCUAGCUAUUUUGAUGGAAACAUUUGAGUGUCUGCUGUAUGCAUACUCAGGUUAAUUUGAUAGGAAAGAGACAUUGGAGCCCUUGCUCUGGGGGAAGCCAGCUGCCAUGUUCUGAGCUCCCUAUGGUGAGACCCACACAGCAGAGAACUGAUGUCUCCAGACACUGUCCAGCGGAGACCUGUGGCUGCCCACAGUCAUCUGAGUGAGCUUGGGAGUGGAUCCUUCCCUCGUUGAGCCUUGAGAUGACUGCUGCCCUGUGGUCGCCUCAGUUGUGGCCUCCUGGGAGACUCAGCCAUACUCAGAUUUCUGACUCACAGAAACUGUGAGAUAGGGGCACCUGGGUGGCUCAGUCAGUUAAGUGUCUGCCUUCAGCUCAGGUCAUGAUCCCAGGGUCCUGGGAUCGAGUCCCACAUUGGGUUUCCUGCUCAGUG